CUGUUAACCAGCCUGGCCUCAAACCAUAGAGAUUUGCCUGCCUCUGCCUCCUGAGUGCUGGGAUUAAAGAUAUGCACCACCCUGCCUGGCACAAGAUAAUCUCUUUUUAAAAGACUCAGAAAAAGAUCGCAUGAUCAGGAGAAAUUCAGGCAACAGCAGGAAAGAAGAAGGAAAGACACACCUGAGUGGUGAGGAAAGAGGAAGGGAGAUGGAAAGAAGGCGGCGGUGUCUACUUGGCCUGAGAUGGACUGGCAAACCCGUUUGGCUACUGUGGGACUGGCAUACCCUCUUAUCAAAAUAACAGCCACUCUCCCACAUUUGUACCCAGAGAAUUUUUUGUCUGGUUGGGUUUGGUUGUUACUGCUUGUUCAUUGCUAUCCAUGAAACCAUUCUCCCCUGUUGUGGAGAUCAUAAACAAAAGGUACCAGGGUAGUAGACAUGUUAAGACAACUGUGGCACAUUUAUAGGAAAAAGACUUUGAUGACUUUCUUGGCUCAGAAUGAGGAAUUUUUCCUGACUCUUCCUUAAAGAACAAAUAAAAAUUUCGCAUGAUGUGUAUGUUAAUUUUGAGUGACUGGGCCAAGUACAGGUUAUGCUAACACUAGAGACUUUUAAGUCACCUUUGGCAACACCCC
RNAcentral lists this long non-coding RNA (635 nucleotides) under Rattus norvegicus (Norway rat). RNAcentral describes it as "long non-coding RNA NONRATT032902". Lineage: Eukaryota; Metazoa; Chordata; Mammalia; Rodentia; Muridae. The record is from RNAcentral.